Long non-coding RNA from Corvus hawaiiensis (hawaiian crow), 2128 nucleotides. RefSeq lists it as uncharacterized. The transcript is spliced from 4 exons. NCBI's taxonomy places the organism in Eukaryota, Metazoa, Chordata, Aves, Passeriformes, Corvidae. The record is from RefSeq and is a predicted model, not a curated record.
AGCCCGCUGGAAAUGCUCCAUCCGCUGCCUCUCGCGGGACACGAUCACCCCAAGGUAGCUGUGCCAGAGGGAAGUGUUGGCUUCCAUGGCAGCUCUGCUGCUAUCUUACGAGCAGGAGUAAAAAGGGUUAUUUCCAGUUCGUCCUUGUGCCUCCUUCAGUUCCCCGUGGCUGAAGAGCUGCCCUGCAGGUAGGAGUCUGUCCCUCACGGUCGUCUGCCCUUCUGCCAGCCGACUGGAGGAGCUCUGCUUUCCAAGGGUCAGAGAUUCCGCCUACAGAGCAUCCUUGAGCGCCUGCAGUUCGAGUCAUUAAGCCUGCACCGGGCUUCUUACUACCAGGAGGCUGUGGGUGCUCUGGGCUGGGGAGUCUCAGCCAGCUUUUAAACCCCUGACAGUGGGUGAUGGGCUCUCCUUACCUGAGCCCUGUGCUUCGGGUUUCACCCCAUCUGAGCAGGGGGCCCCCACACCAAUGGCUGUCUCAACCAGGGCUGAGGGUGCAGGUCUUACCCUCCUCCAUCAUGUGAAGACAAACUGGCUGGAGUCCCAGUGAGGGACCAAAAGCAACAGACCCCCAUCAGAGUGGCUUGGGCUCAUCCUGAAGAAUGCUGAACCCAAGCCAGGCAAGACAGAUUACUGCUUCAUGCCUUGAUGAGGGAAAAAGAGGGCAGAGAGAUGCAGCCCACCACUUUUCUGGGGGUGGUGGGGCAUGGCUCACUGCUGGCAGGGUUGCUGUGUCCCCAUGGAGCAUCACUUUGUCAUGGAUGGAGUCCCUGCUGCUGCAGCAGCAGCCAGGGCAUUCCUUCUGUCAGUGCCUGGCAGGAAUGCUGGAGGGGGCUGUGGGCAUCAUGCAGAAGCUGAACUGAGAGCCAGGAGUGGUACUAUGGGAAGUGCUGGCUGAGCCCACAGCGUGGCCCUGACAUCCUGCUGCCAGAGUGCUGAUGCCAGGAGGAGCGAGUGUGACCUCGGCUCAUCUCUGCCUUUGACAUCUGCACUUUUUGGACCUCUGGGUGCCACAAUCAAGAGGCAAGGGGCCAGGCGCAGACCCUGGAGGAGCAUCUUCCUGGCUGCUGCCAGGCACAGGCAGCACAGAGAGUGACCCUGCUGCAGGCACAGUGUGAGAAGGAAGAGUGAUGCUGGGUAGUGGCAUGUUUGGUGACAAAGCUGGCCAGCCAGAAGAGGUGGGAGCAGCUGGAGAUGCUGCCAGAUGCUGAGCAAUGCUCUGAGCAGGAGGGAGCACAGCUGGCGAGGGGAGGGAAUGCUGUAGAUCAGGUAGUGGGGGACAGAAGCUCCAUCCCACAUGGGUGGGUGGCUGAGCCCUGGCUGGGGCUGUGCUACAUGGGAUGAGCCGUAGGGCAGGCACACUGCAUGGCUGGACAUUUGGGGCAGCACCUGGACACUCAACCCCACAACCAGCCCAAGCUGAGCACACUUCUACUGGCCCAAAGACAGCGGGAAAAAAUUCCUAGCGAGAAGGUCCAUAGUUAGACUGUGGAAGACAUGGCUGGAGUGCACAGUGUCCUGUCUGGACAAGUCACUGGAGGCUGGUGGCAAGUGCCCUGGUACUGGCAGACGGUCUGGCCUGAAUGAGCUAAUCACUGUUUCCAUCUCAGCAUUUUAUGGUUCCAUGAAUUUUUGCUCUGUUAGAAACAGGAGAGAGAAAACAACCCCAAAAAUAAAGGGCAAGUACAAGCAAGAGAGAGGAAAAAUCCUGGCGGCAUGGGAGCACUUGGCACAGCAGAGGUGGGCGAGGAGCUGCAAUGAGCCCCCAGUGUCCCUCACCCAGCUUGCCUCUCUGUAGGGUUGUGCAGUGUGACUGCUGCACCCCAGGCCCUGCAAGAUGCCGUCAUCACCCAGCAGAAAGGUACUGGGGUGCUGAGCUGGUGGGUUGAGGAGAUAAAGGGGCACAGGGGCACUGGGAUGCAGGGGGUAGGUUAUGCUCUGCCCCAGCACUGCAAGUCCCACACUUCUGCACCCCACAAGCCCCCUGAGUGGCAUGGCCCCCAACAAAACAGCUGGGAUGGGGAGGGGGGACAAAAGCAGGGAAGGUAGAGAGGAAGAGAGAGUAAUUUAACAUGACAGGCUGUUUAUUUUGGCAAAAAGGGUUUCUUUUCAACAGAUUUCAAAGCUCGGC